Non-coding RNA from Vicia faba (fava bean), 354 nucleotides. Lineage: Eukaryota; Viridiplantae; Streptophyta; Magnoliopsida; Fabales; Fabaceae. The record is from the annotation of a GenBank genome assembly.
GAUAAUAGAUUUCUAGUGAUUACCAAGCUUCGACAAGGUAACCAAUCAAUUGUACACUUAGAAUAUUUCCUAAAUCUGUUAGAGGAAGUGUGGACGAAAUUUAAUCUUCAAUCAUCAUCACCUUCUGCAUCGAUUCUUCAUAACAAUAAUCUCCUUAUACAUCGAUUCUCCACCCUUCAAUCCUCAUCUUCAACACAGAAUCAACACACAGAUUUCCGGAACAAGAAACUCAGAGAUACGAUUAUUCACCGAGCCAGAAAACACACAGAAAAACUCACAAAAAUAAAACGAUUCACAAAGAAAACUCACAAGGAAAUUCUGGAAAUCGCAGCCUCGUCUUCACUAAACUUCUGA